UACGUAGGGUCCGAGCGUUGUCCGGAUUUAUUGGGCGUAAAGAGCUCGUAGGCGGCUCGGUAAGUCGGAUGUGAAAACUCGGGGCUCAACCCCGAGACGCCAUCCGAUACUGCUGUGGCUUGAGUCUGGUAGGGGAGAACGGAAUUCCUGGUGUAGUGGUGAAAUGCGCAGAUAUCAGGAGGAACACCGGUGGCGAAGGCGGUUCUCUGGGCCAGUACUGACGCUGAGGAGCGAAAGCGUGGGUAGCAAACAGG
RNAcentral lists this ribosomal RNA (254 nucleotides) under uncultured bacterium. RNAcentral describes it as "partial 16S ribosomal RNA". It matches the Rfam family "Bacterial small subunit ribosomal RNA", at positions 524 to 776 of the family's 1533-position model. The record is from RNAcentral.